GCCACACUGUCUCCUCCCGAGACUCAGCGAAGUUGAAAUGUUUGUGAUGAUGCAAUCUACCCGCGGCUAGACGGAAAGACCCCAUGAACCUUUACUGUAGCUUUGCAUUGGACUUUGAAUCGAUCUGUGUAGGAUAGGUGGGAGGCUUUGAAGCGUGGACGCCAGUUUGCGUGGAGCCAUCCUUGAAAUACCACCCUGGUUUAUUUGAGGUUCUAACCUUGGCCCGUUAUCCGGGUCGGGGACAGUGCAUGGUAGGCAGUUUGACUCGGGCGGUCUCCUCCCAAAGUGUAACGGAGGAGUUCGAAGGUACGCUAGUUACGGUCGGACAUCGUGACGAUAGUGCAAUGGCAUAAGCGUGCUUAACUGCGAGACUGACAAGUCGAGCAGGUACGAAAGUAGGACAUAGUGAUCCGGUGGUUCUGUAUGGAAGGGCCAUCGCUCAACGGAUAAAAGGUACUCUGGGGAUAACAGGCUGAUUCCUCCCAAGAGUUCAUAUCGACGGGGGAGUUUGGCACCUCGAUGUCGGCUCAUUAGUACGAGAGGACCGGAGUGGACGAACCUCUGGUGUAUCGGUUGUCACGCCAGUGGCAUUGCCGAGUAGCUAUGUUCGGAAGAGAUAACCGCUGAAAGCAUCUAAGCGGGAAACUCGCCUUAAGAUGAGACUUCCCAGAGCCUUGAGCUCUUUAAAGGGUCGUUCGAGACCAGGACGUUGAUAGGCUGGGUGUGGAAGUGCAGUAAUGCAUUAAGCUAACCAGUACUAAUUGCCCGUAAGGCUUGUCCCUAUAACCUUAGCAGGUUA
RNAcentral lists this ribosomal RNA (799 nucleotides) under Burkholderiales bacterium. Its description in RNAcentral is "partial 23S ribosomal RNA". It matches the Rfam family "Bacterial large subunit ribosomal RNA", at positions 2010 to 2925 of the family's 2925-position model. The record is from RNAcentral. Lineage: Bacteria; Pseudomonadati; Pseudomonadota; Betaproteobacteria; Burkholderiales.